This 74-nucleotide transfer RNA is filed under the name Anaerolineales bacterium. Its description in RNAcentral is "tRNA-Arg". It matches the Rfam family "tRNA". From Rfam's summary of the family: Transfer RNA (tRNA) molecules are approximately 80 nucleotides in length. Their secondary structure includes four short double-helical elements and three loops (D, anti-codon, and T loops). Further hydrogen bonds mediate the characteristic L-shaped molecular structure. tRNAs have two regions of fundamental functional importance: the anti-codon, which is responsible for specific mRNA codon recognition, and the 3' end, to which the tRNAs corresponding amino acid is attached (by aminoacyl-tRNA synthetases). tRNAs cope with the degeneracy of the genetic code in two manners: having more than one tRNA (with a specific anti-codon) for a particular amino acid; and 'wobble' base-pairing, i.e. permitting non-standard base-pairing at the 3rd anti-codon position. Lineage: Bacteria; Bacillati; Chloroflexota; Anaerolineae; Anaerolineales. The record is from RNAcentral.
GCCCCCGUAGCUCAAUGGAUAGAGUAGCAGACUUCGAAUCUGAAGGUUUCCGAGUUCGACCCUCGGCGGGGGCG